RNAcentral lists this ribosomal RNA (265 nucleotides) under uncultured archaeon. Its description in RNAcentral is "partial 16S ribosomal RNA". It matches the Rfam family "Archaeal small subunit ribosomal RNA", at positions 719 to 982 of the family's 1478-position model. The record is from RNAcentral.
ACACGACUACAUUAGAUACCCGUGUAGUCCUAGCCGUAAACGAUACUCGCUAGGUGUCGGCCACGGUGCGACCGUUGUCGGUGCCGUAGGGAAGCCGUGAAGCGAGCCACCUGGGAAGUACGGCCGCAAGGCUAGAAACUUAAAGGAAUUGGCGGGGAGCACAACAACGGGUGGAGCUUGCGGUUUAAUUGGAUUCAACGCCGGAAAUCUUACCGGGACCGACAGCAACAUGAAGGCCAAGCUGAAGACUUUGCCGGAUUAGCUG